UAUGUUAUUGAGAUGUAUAGUUUGGCAAAUAAUAAAAUGUCUUUGCAGCUCAAACACCCACUACCUUUCAAUAGGAUAUUGUCAAUUUGCUGAGGUUGAUUAUGUCCAAUUAACAGCUAACAAUUAUGCCAUUCCUUGGCUUGCAUCUGAGUAAAACGUAAUUCAAAACCCACGUACAGUUUGCGAUUUUUUAAAGGAUACUUUUGCUUCAGAAGCAUGUUCAUUUUGCAUGUUAAA
This is a long non-coding RNA of Amblyraja radiata (thorny skate), 237 nucleotides long. RefSeq lists it as uncharacterized. NCBI's taxonomy places the organism in Eukaryota, Metazoa, Chordata, Chondrichthyes, Rajiformes, Rajidae. The transcript has 3 exons. The record is from RefSeq and is a predicted model, not a curated record.